Molecule: non-coding RNA, 363 nt
Organism: Salmo salar (Atlantic salmon)
Lineage: Eukaryota; Metazoa; Chordata; Actinopteri; Salmoniformes; Salmonidae
Source: RefSeq, a predicted model, not a curated record
ACAACCUUUCACAGCAAUAUCAUUGCAUGUCAUUUGGGGUGGGAAAUGACUUGUAAUUUCGUCAUGGAAUUGGCAUUAUUUGAAAAUGUGGCUUUGAAGAAAUAUCUGUUGUUUUGUAAACCACUCAAAUUAUACUUUACAAAGAUUUUAGGGAAGCAAUGACACCCUCAUCUGACCAGCUUCCUGAAUCGCAGCCAUCAGAGGUCCAGAGCCAAGAGAACAAUGCCUCUAAACAGGGUCCCAGAGACAGGCCCGUGGUGCAGGCUCUAUGGCACAUGGCCCUGAGGGGAGCUGAGGCUCUCUGCAAGACUCUGACUGGCUCAGAAAGAGAAGGUUCAGAUGAGGGGAUGCCCCAGCAAGACU